This 71-nucleotide ribosomal RNA is filed under the name Rheinheimera pacifica. Its description in RNAcentral is "23S rRNA. Bacterial LSU". The record is from RNAcentral. Lineage: Bacteria; Pseudomonadati; Pseudomonadota; Gammaproteobacteria; Chromatiales; Chromatiaceae.
UGAUAGGUGAGGUGUGGAAGCGUGGUGACACGUUAAGCUAACUCAUACUAAUUGCCCGAGAGGCUUAACCA